CCUACGGGAGGCAGCAGUGGGGGAUAUUGCACAAUGGGGGAAACCCUGAUGCAGCGACGCCGCGUGAGUGAAGAAGUAUUUCGGUAUGUAAAGCUCUAUCAGCAGGGAAGAAAAUGACAGUACCUGACCAAGAAGCCCCGGCUAACUACGUGCCAGCAGCCGCGGUAAUACGUAGGGGGCAAGCGUUCUCCGGAUUUACUGGGUGUAACGGGAGCGUAGCCGGUUAGGUAAGGCUGGAGUGAAAGCCCGGGGCCCAACCCCGGGACGGCUUUGGAAACGGUGUAACUGGAGUACAGGAGGGGCAGGCGGCAUUCCUGUUGUAGCGGUUAACUGCGUAGCUCUCAGGAGGAACCCCGGCGGCGACGGCGGCCUGCUGGACUGCAACUGCCGUUGCGGCUCGACAGCGUGGGGAGCACACCGGAUUAGCUACCCGAGUAGUC
RNAcentral lists this ribosomal RNA (440 nucleotides) under uncultured bacterium. RNAcentral's name for it is "partial 16S ribosomal RNA". It matches the Rfam family "Bacterial small subunit ribosomal RNA", at positions 338 to 795 of the family's 1533-position model. The record is from RNAcentral.